Molecule: long non-coding RNA, 873 nt
Filed under: Homo sapiens (human)
Lineage: Eukaryota; Metazoa; Chordata; Mammalia; Primates; Hominidae
Description: non-protein coding lnc-FKBP11-1:4
Source: RNAcentral
CUGUUCCUUACAGCGGUAAGGGGAACGCUAGGCUGCCGCACUAAGGGGGCUGCCGCCGCCCAGCGGUCCAGGUGUGUGUUGCGCGCCUGCUGGGAGGGAGAGGGUGCUAGAUGUAUGCUCUUGAUGCUCUCUCCCCCCAGGGAAGCUUGGUAGAUGGACGUAUUAUUGACACCUCCCUGACCAGAGACCCUCUGGUUAUAGAACUUGGCCAAAAGCAGGUGAUUCCAGGUCUGGAGCAGAGUCUUCUCGACAUGUGUGUGGGAGAGAAGCGAAGGGCAAUCAUUCCUUCUCACUUGGCCUAUGGAAAACGGGGAUUUCCACCAUCUGUCCCAGGUAAUCUGACUAGGACUCUCUCUCAGGCCAUCAAAAUACCCAGUCCCUAAGAGCUAUAAGGAGCUAUAUACUUUGUUUGAUGCUUGAGAAGAUCCAGACCAAGUUUGUUUAGACAGAUAGGAGUGGCUGGGGCCUCCAUCUACAGGGCCACCUUUUUCCUCCUCAUAUCACCAACAGGGACUAAAGACAACCUGAUGAGGCCACCUGGCAUGACCUCCAGCAGCCAGUAACUUGUUAGGGAAGAGACCUGCUUGGGCCACAUGGGUCUGCUGCCUGUGCCACCACCUUUCCCAGAACACUGGACUUCUUUCCUGCCCUUUUCUACAACUCUACGCUGUGUCAGCUGUACAGCCACCCCCCACCCCUUCCUUUCAGCCUCCAUCAGGGAAGAGACAGUAAAAAUAAUCACAGUCAAGUGAUUCAAAACAAAACAAAAAGCAACUGUUAAAGCCAAGUCUGCCCCAUAACUUUAAAAGCCAUCAUUGGUCACUGCCGAUGUCUAUUUUUGAAGGGUUGAGAUGGACAGAUUUCCCAAGAUGC